UACCCGCGGCCCGAGUGGUGGUCGAUAUUAUUGAGCCUAAAACGUCCGUAGCCGGUCUUGUAAAUCCUUGGGUAAAUCGGCCAGCUUAACUGUCCGAAUUCCGAGGAGACUGCAAGACUUGGGACCGGGAGAGGUCAGAGGUACUUCCAGGGUAGGGGUAAAAUCCUGUAAUCCUGGAAGGACCACCGGUGGCGAAGGCGUCUGACUAGAACGGAUCCGACGGUGAGGGACGAAGCCCUGGGGCGCAAACGGGAUUAGAUACCCCCGUAGUCC
RNAcentral lists this ribosomal RNA (273 nucleotides) under uncultured bacterium. RNAcentral's name for it is "partial 16S ribosomal RNA". It matches the Rfam family "Archaeal small subunit ribosomal RNA", at positions 474 to 747 of the family's 1478-position model. The record is from RNAcentral.